RNAcentral lists this ribosomal RNA (477 nucleotides) under uncultured bacterium. RNAcentral describes it as "partial 16S ribosomal RNA". It matches the Rfam family "Bacterial small subunit ribosomal RNA", at positions 28 to 523 of the family's 1533-position model. The record is from RNAcentral.
GAUGAACGCUGGCGGCGUGCUUAACACAUGCAAGUCGAGCGAGUGAGUUCUUCGGAACGAUCUAGCGGCGAACGGGUGAGGAACACGUGAGAAAUCUGCCUUCAACACUGGGAUAACUCCGGGAAACCGGGGCUAAUACCGGAUAUGAAACCUGCGGGCAUCCGCGGGUUUGGAAAGUUUUUCGGUUGAAGAUGAUCUCGCGGCCUAUCAGCUUGUGGGUGAGGUAAUGGCUCACCAAGGCGACGACAGGUAGCCGGCCUGAGAGGGCGACCGGCCACACUGGGACUGAGACACGGCCCAGACUCCUACGGGGGGCAGCAGUGGGGAAUAUUGGGCAAUGGAGGAAACUCUGACCCAGCGACGCCGCGUGCGGGAUGAAGGCCUUCGGGUUGUAAACCGCUUUCAGUAGGGACGAAGCGCAAGUGACGGUACCUACAGAAGAAGGACCGGCCAACUACGUGCCAGCAGCCGCCGUAA